CACUGUGUAUGGCAUGCUGCACUAAGUUUCUUGCUUUUAUGCUCUCACGCACUCUUUCUCCAUUCCCCUCUCUCUUCUUCCAUCUGCUGGAGCUGCUCGCCUUUCUGUCGGGGACACCGAAGCAUUCAUGCGGCUGAGAGCCAUUCUAUUAUUCAGCUAUAAGUUCUGGAUGACAAAGGAAAGAGAAGAGGGGCAAAUCACCCACUGAAGAGGAAGAAAAUAGCCACACAUUUUGAUGCCUGGAGGAUGAAACCUCCUAUGUUAUUUCCUUCCGUCUUUCUCUCUAUGUCCAUUUUGAUUAAUGGACAUCAUUAGAAAUAGACACAGGCUAUCAGAACUUGAAUGAAUCAGGCAGCUGCAGUUACCCACGAUGCUCUGCAUAGUCGGAGCAGUAUAGAGUGGUGCAGCUUUAAUGACAAAUCGAAAUGACAGAAUAUGUUUGGAAAAAAAAUCCAUGGCAACCAUGGCUGCAAAGGACGGCAAUCGAUAUCGUUUUGGUUAUGCAGCAGCUACAAGUUUGAACUGAGGAGGACAGAGAGCCAAAUAGAAAGGAGGAUGGAUAUGAUGGACACGGCAUCACAGUAUGGUAAGGGGCUUGACAUUUCCGUCACACGCUUGAGGUAUUCUGCCAAUCACAAUGCACUGGAUAGCUGGCCAAUCAGACUACACCUCGCAGGAUGAUGAGCUUUGUAAAAAUUGACGCAUUUCAGAAAGGUGGGGCAAAGAGGAGAAACAAUAUUGUACAGUCUCUGGGGGGUAGAGGGGCUGCACAAGAGUAAUGGCCCGGCUGUGGACAACAAACAUAUCCAUCCAUAUGACCCCUGAGACGGAGGCCUGAUGAUAAUUCCCAAAACACACUGCACUCGCACACACACAUGCACAUGCAUAGAGAGAGAGCACAGUGUGAGAGAGAGACACUCCCACACGCCCUUACCAGCACUGUGUUAUUUUAAACCAGCACAUUCCCUUAAAAUAAAAAGAAGAAAUAAAGAGGUGAAGUCUAUUUCAAAAGCAAACUCCCACACCUGGAGGACCUGUCAAGCACUGUCUGCUAUUGAGCUCCAGCACUAUAUCAAGCUAAUGGGGGGAAAAGUGGGUCAACAAGAAUUAUUCAUGAGGUUCCUCCAUUUAAAAGCAGACACUUUGUGUAUGUCUCAGAGAAAAAUAGAAAAAGUCUCAGACAACAUGGUUGAUGAGACACAUAUCUGAAUUAUAAAUCACACAAGUCAUUAGUUCAACCUGCUACUACAACUGAUGCUACCCGUAAUCGAUAAGCUAACAGCAUUCAGUUAGACAGAAGACGAGGCUAAACUACAAAAUGAUAACUAUUCGAUAUUCAUGGCAUGUUUAUUCAGCUUUAGUAUUUGCACAUCCUUUUUCAUGAAAAGAUUUUUAUGCAACAGAAUGGGGGCGGACUUAAUACUGGCUAUUCAAUAACCAAAAUUCACUUGCUUCAGUUACGACACACAGGAAGGAAAUUCUUUAAUAUGCAAUAUGGCCAAAAGACAGUUAUGAGAUUAAAUGGAGAGCACUGGAGACUUAAGUUAAGACUUAAGGAGGCUUAAGUUCUGUUUCUCCAAUUAUUCUCUGAGAAAAGACUACAAUAAUUUCAGAAGGGACCUGAGCAAUGUCUUAAAGGAAUAGUUUAUCCAAAAAUGAAAAUUACCCCAUGAUUUACACACUCUCAAGUCAUCCUAGGUGUAUAUGAUUUUAUUCUUUCAGACGAAUAUUAUCAGAGUUAUAUUAAAAAAUGUCAUGACUCUUAGAAGCUUUAUAAUGGCAAUGAAUGGGGGUUGAGAUUUUGUAGCACAAAAAAAUGGCAUCCAUCCAUCAUAAAAAGUGCUCCACACAGCACCAGCGGGUUAAUAAAGGACUUCUGAAGUGAAUCGAUGCAUUUGUGUAAGAAAAAUAUCCAUAUUGAAAACUUUAGAAA
Long non-coding RNA from Cyprinus carpio carpio, 1933 nucleotides. The record is from Ensembl. Lineage: Eukaryota; Metazoa; Chordata; Actinopteri; Cypriniformes; Cyprinidae.